UCCUCUCUCUCAUCCUCCUCCACCUCUGUUUUUCUCAGCAACCUCAGACCGGCAAGAACAUCACGGACUCGUACUGACGGGAAGAAAAUACUCUCUCUCUCUCUCUCUUUAAAACCCCAUCAACGCCUCUCUCAUCCUCAUUCUUUGUUCUUCUCAGAAACUCCAACCACUGCCACAUGCUCCGCCAUUCCCAUCUCCACCCACCUCUUCGCCGCCAAGGACCACCGAUUCUACUACCCAUCUUUUCAAGGCUCCGAUUUUUUUCAGCUUUCUUACCAAAUCCCUCUGUAUUUGAUAUUCUUUUGGUUUCUUUUGUGUGAGAUAUUUGGAUGAUUUAAUUCUAGUUUUUUCUUCUGUGAUAAUUAGAUUUCUUGUUUUUAAUUUUCGUAAAAUUACCAUUUUGGCUAGCUUGAGUUCUUGCUGUGAUAUAUUUGUAAUUUUUUUUUUUGGGGGAGUGGGUUUUGAGCAAUCCAAGCUCCUCUGAAAUUAACGACUGUGGCUUGGGAAAGAUCUCUGAGGAGAUGUUUGAAAGGACAAUGGACAUGUUUGAGAAGGCUGUUUGAAAUUAACAGUGUGAUUAGUUCUCAUUUGAAGAAAUAGAAGACCCAUGGAUCUAAUCAAAACCAUUUAUGAGCAUUGGUGGCAAAAAAGGGAGAGGAAGGGAAUGCCUUUAAUCUGACAUCUUCAGCCACCGCUGUGGGAAAGUAUCAACAACAAGUGAAGGAGUGGGAGCUAGCUUUGACCAAAAACAAUACCAACAUCCUAAUGGAUGCCUGGAGCAGGCUGCACCAAUUGAAAAGCUACCCAUAUUUGCUUUCUGUUUGAAGCCAUGAGGUUUGGAAGUUCCCAACAAGGGGUCAAAACAAAGGUCACGUAGGAAGUUUUCAGUUUCUGGGCAAAGCAAUGCCAUCUCGGGAGAUCAGGAUGGUUUCCAUGCUUUUGGAAGAAGAUUGAAUGAUUUUGCCUCUGUGGAUGACAAGUUUGCAUAUCCGGGUCAUAGUUGUGAAUCCCAUGAGUUCAGCCCCUGAAAAUAUGUUCAUGGCAACAAGGUUAGAGACCCAGAACUGCUGCCUGAAAUGUAUGCAAAGAAGCUAGUUGUUGCAGCAUUUCAUAUUGCACUAAAUUGCAUUGAACUUGAUCCAAAGAUGCAGCCCAGGAUGUAAACAGUGUUAGAGAGUCUUGAUUGCAUAAAAUCACAAAGAAGAAAGUAAAGAACUUAGUAGAAUUUUGGUUCUUGAUGCUGAUUUUUUAUGUUGAAGGUGUUUGGCUUGUUAGCAGUCCAUGGUUGGAGGGGAAUUUGGAUGUAUAUUUUCUUGGAAAUAUUUUUGUGAGCCAAUGUAUAUUUCAACAAAUCUAUUGCUAAAUUUUUAUAUUUUUGUGUCUAUGUAUUUGCAUAUUUGAACAAGGCAGCUUUAGAUGAAUUCAAUAGAGUGAUGUGGAUGGAAAUUUAAAUUCAAGAAGUUUAAAUUUUGCAAUA
Molecule: long non-coding RNA, 1477 nt
Organism: Quercus robur (English oak)
Lineage: Eukaryota; Viridiplantae; Streptophyta; Magnoliopsida; Fagales; Fagaceae
Exons: 3
Source: RefSeq, a predicted model, not a curated record